GGAUUGGAUGAAAUAUAAACUGUCUCUUAAUUAUAUUUAGAAUUUAAUUUUUUAAUUAAAAAGUUAAAAUGAAUUAAAAAGACGAGAAGACCCUAUAGAGUUUUAUAAUUAAAUUAAUUGAGAUUUUUUGUAAGAUUAAAAUUAAAAUUAAUUUAUUUAUUUUGUUGGGGUGACAGAAAAAUAUGGAGAACUUUUUUUAUAAUAUUACAUAAAUAAGUGGUUAAAUGAUCCAAUAUUAUUGAUUAUAAGAAAAAAUUACCUUAGGGAUAACAGCGUAAUUUUUUUUUUUAGUUCAUAUAAAAAAAAAAGUUUGCGACCUCGAUGUUGGAUUAAGAUAAAAUUUAAAUGCAGAAG
RNAcentral lists this ribosomal RNA (354 nucleotides) under Sesamia calamistis. Its description in RNAcentral is "partial 16S large subunit ribosomal RNA". The record is from RNAcentral. Lineage: Eukaryota; Metazoa; Arthropoda; Insecta; Lepidoptera; Noctuidae.